RNAcentral lists this long non-coding RNA (553 nucleotides) under Chrysolophus pictus (golden pheasant). Its description in RNAcentral is "lncRNA (ENSCPIG00010013913.1)". The record is from RNAcentral. Lineage: Eukaryota; Metazoa; Chordata; Aves; Galliformes; Phasianidae.
CAUGAAGGCAUUUCAUGGGGAACCUCCAAAGAAGUUCCAUUAUUGAGGCCUGCACUCAAGCACACCCAACCUUGUCACCUGCCUGUGACUAAAAGAAGUUUCUUCCAGCAAAGACACUGUACAAUCACAGGCAGCUACACUGUGGAAAAUGUAAAUGCAAUAGAAAACACAGACUUGGAAGAGCAUCUGUUGUCCCCUUCAGGUCAAGCAGUGGUCUUGAAAGAUGAACCAGCACGGAGAGAACUCAGAAGGAGCAAGGAGUAACAGGAUGAGCUGGGAGCUGGAAGGAGAGGAAAGGGAGGUCAAUGAGGGACUUUUUUCUUCUUCACAAUUCCACAAACAUGCCAUGGAUUCACGGUGAGUUUGGGUUUUGAUCACUGAGCUGCCCCAAGGGAUGCUGACCUGGUGAGGGGUCUGCAGCCUUCCCCUUGGACUUUCCCCGUGCCAGGUAUGGACUGAGCACUGCCUGUCUGAGUAACUGAACCCAGCUGUAACUGUGCACCUUGCCUCUGUGAGUAGAAUAAAAGAACUAAAAAAAGAGGAUGGAGAAGCA